GGGCGAGUGGUUUAGUGGUAUAACGUUUCCCUCACACGGAAAAGAUCGCAGUUUCGAUUACUGCCUCGCCCACCA
RNAcentral lists this transfer RNA (75 nucleotides) under Promethearchaeati archaeon. RNAcentral describes it as "Asgard group archaeon (marine sediment metagenome) tRNA-Val". It matches the Rfam family "tRNA". From Rfam's summary of the family: Transfer RNA (tRNA) molecules are approximately 80 nucleotides in length. RNAcentral also lists the same sequence under 1 other name. The record is from RNAcentral. Lineage: Archaea; Promethearchaeati.